AUACGGAGGGUGCGAGCGUUGUUCGGAAUUAUUGGGCGUAAAGCGCGUGUAGGCGGUUUGCUCAGUCUGAUGUGAAAGCCCCGGGCUCAACUGGGAAGUGCAUUGGAUACUGGCAGACUUGAAUACGGGAGAGGGCAGUGGAAUUCCUGGUGUAGGAGUGAAAUCCGUAGAUAUUGGGAGGAACACCGGUGGCGAAGGCGGCUGCCUGGACCGAUACUGACGCUGAGACGCGAAAGCGUGGGGAGC
This 246-nucleotide ribosomal RNA is filed under the name uncultured bacterium. Its description in RNAcentral is "partial 16S ribosomal RNA". It matches the Rfam family "Bacterial small subunit ribosomal RNA", at positions 523 to 769 of the family's 1533-position model. The record is from RNAcentral.